AGCAGCCGCGGUAAUUCCAGCUCCAAUAGCGUAUAUUAAAGUUGUUGCAGUUAAAAAGCUCGUAGUUGAAUUUCGGAAUCAAGUCGUCGGUCGUGCUCAGGUACGUACUGGCGUCAUUGAUUUCUCCCUUCUGACGAACCAUGAUGUCAUUAAUUUGGUGUCAUGGGAAAUCAGGACUGUUACUUUGAAAAAAUUAGAGUGUUUAAAGCAGGCUCACGCUUGAAUACAUUAGCAUGGAAUAAUGAAAUAGGACGUUCGAUCCUAUUUUGUUGGUUUUUAGGAUCAACGUAAUGAUUAAUAGGGAUAGUUGGGGGCAUUAGUAUUCAAUUGUCAGAGGUGAAAUUCUUGGAUUUAUUGAAGACUAACUACUGCGAAAGCAUUUGCCAAGGAUGUUUUCAUUAAUCAAGAACGAAAGUUAGGGGAUCGAAGACGAUCAGAUACCGUCGUAGUCUUAACCAUAAACUAUGCCGACUAGGGAUCGGAUGAUGUUAAUUUUUUAAUGACUCAUUCGGCGCCUUAC
This 520-nucleotide unclassified non-coding RNA is filed under the name uncultured Glomus. Its description in RNAcentral is "SSU rRNA". It matches the Rfam family "Eukaryotic small subunit ribosomal RNA", at positions 569 to 1091 of the family's 1831-position model. The record is from RNAcentral. Lineage: Eukaryota; Fungi; Glomeromycota; Glomeromycetes; Glomerales; Glomeraceae.